This 270-nucleotide ribosomal RNA is filed under the name uncultured bacterium. RNAcentral describes it as "partial 16S ribosomal RNA". It matches the Rfam family "Bacterial small subunit ribosomal RNA", at positions 501 to 770 of the family's 1533-position model. The record is from RNAcentral.
AUACGUGCCAGCAGCCGCGGUAAUACGUAUGGUGCAAGCGUUAUCCGGAUUUACUGGGUGUAAAGGGAGCGUAGACGGAGAAGCAAGUCUGGAGUGAAAGCCCGGGGCUCAACCCCGGGACUGCUUUGGAAACUGUUUGUCUAGAGUGCCGGAGAGGUAAGCAGAAUUCCUAGUGUAGCGGUGAAAUGCGUAGAUAUUAGGAGGAACACCAGUGGCGAAGGCGGUCUGCUGGACAGCAACUGACGCUGAGGCGCGAAAGCGUGGGGAGCA